AACGAGCAGCAGAGCCGCCCAGCAGCAACCACAUUAGGAAGGAAUCGGAAACCAACGCUCCGCUGGCUGUCACCCCUUACCCACUUGCUGUCAGACAAAAUAUUACUCUGUCACCCAGACUGGAGUCCAGUGGUGUGAUCUCAGCUCACUGCAACCUCCGCCCCCUCAAGUCCAAGCCACUCUCAUGCCUCAGUCUCCUGAGUAGCUGGGAUUACAGGCACCCACCACCACGUCUGGCUAAUUUUUGUAUUUUUAGUAGAGACAGGGUUUUGCCAUCUUGGCCAGCCUGGUCUCGAACUCCUGGCCUCAAGUGAUCUGUCCACCUCAGCCUCCCAAAGUGCUGGGAUUACAGAUGUGAGCCACCACACCUGGCCUAAAAUGUCAUAUAUUUUGAACUGACUGACUUCUCCAAAAACUUAUGGUUAUUAGUUGAGAGAGAAAACUUGAGAGAAAGUUUCCCUGCACUUGGAUGAGAGGAGAGCGGAACAGCCUGCAUCUCUGGUGCUGGGGAGUAUCAAAUAAGGGGAAUUGGGAGAAGGAUGGAGGCAACAGCGUAGCUCUUUGCCUUUCAAAAUUAAAAUGGGAUGCUGCUUUAUAUUACAAAUCUAAGGAAUUAGAAGAGCAGCAAACUAAGCAACUAAGUUUGUUCUCCUUGCAUAAACUUUAAAAAGCCAGCUUAAAAGUUCUCAAGCUUAAAAUUCGAAAAAUGAAAACAAAUGCAUGGCAUGACAGAGGGGAUAAUUCCUGCACUUUUGGAAAUGUUCUCAUGUUUUCUUCAUUUCAUCCUAUGAAUGAAAAUGCCGUCAAAGGGGAAUAAGGCUAUUCGCAGAGUGCUCAUCACCACGGUGUCCAAACAGUGUCAUCCGGUGUCCUGACAUGCGGCCCCAAUGGACUGAUCCAGGGUGGAAAGGAAGAGUGAGAAGAAAUCAGACAGAAGAAUUCAGGAGAUGUGGCAACAGAGUGGAUGUAGCAGAAGGGACAUAGAGAGUGCCUAAAGAUGAGUCUUUGGUCAGCAUGUGAUGAAAAGAAUGAAGACACUGGGGAAGUGGGGAGCAGAAGCGGAUGUGGGCCCAGGAGGAAGAAGAAUUUGGGACCUGGGAGUUUGGGAGAAAAGCAAAGAAGGCCUGGGGUUGAGUGAGACACAGGGUCCCAGCCAGCAGCUAGAACACGAGGAGAAAAGAAGAAAGGACUCACUGAAAGGGAAUUGCUGAAGAGGACCUUUAUAUCUGAGGGCUUUACUUUGUGCUUUGUAAUUUCCCUUUGUCAUCCUCAUCUUUUAGGAAACUGAUUAACCACUAUAAUUUACGUCGUAUUAGCAACGCCUUAGAGAAUGAAGGAGGAACUGUACUUAUUCUUGGAGCGUAGCCUGGAGAGAGGCAGAAGCCUUCAGGAGCUGUUACUAGGUAGUAGGAAAUCACUCUCUCUAGAGUCCUCUGAAACAGUCUGGAAGAGAAUGGAUUUCCUGCUGUUGUGCAGGAUGAGGGUUUGAGUACAGUAAUUUAAUUUACUUAUUUAAAAAAUACUGGAAGAUGGGGAGGGAGGAUGGGUCAGAUUAUAAUAUGUUCAUAUGUCUAAGGCAGGAAAUUAGAUACAAGAUGAAAUCUAAGAAAGUUCUGUGAUUGGGUUUCUCCCACAGAAGGAGGAGAAAAUCCCUGCAUCUCUGGUUAUGCAAAUAAUAUGCAAAUUACAGUGAUUACAUACUUGCUUAGAAAAUUUUGAUUACCUCAUUUUGACUUCAGGCAGAGUUGGGACACCAAAAGGGAAUGUUUGUCAACAGUCCAGAGUUGUUAGAUUUCUUCCAGGGGAAAUGAAAGGGUAAAUUUCUUACCAAACACAAGGGUUUUAAAUAAGUUUUUCAAACUCCUUAAUGUCUCCCUUCCACAAAGCAUACCAAAAAAAAAAAAAAAUUACAAUAGAGUCAAAAUGUGAUCUGUAGACAAAAUGAAGGACAAAUGGUUUUCCCCCCUAAAUUUUACUCCAGGGUACAUUUUCUCCUCUUUCUUUGUCGAACAAUGUGAAGUAAGGGCUUGGAUUUUGUCCUGCAGAUGGUUUUGCAAUCAGUUCUAGCCAUUUCUCUAAGUCUGGGCUUCAAAUCUGUCAGUUGAGAGUGAUACAGUUGCCUGUCCCAUGGUGGUGUUAAGUGAGGCUGAGAGCAUCAAACAAAUGUCCCAGCUCCUGCCACAGUUGCAUCCUUGACACGUUCCAGUGGUGCCCGAGCAACACUGCAAAGACCCCCUGGGAUGUCUGUUGGCAAGAAAAGGUGGAGCCACUGCCCUGGGGGGCUGGGAAGGGAGUUAGAGAACUACUGUCUUAACCUAAAAUUUGGGCAGAAUCUGCCUUGGAUCAAAUUUAAAAUCUUUUCUGAAUAUUAGCUGACUUGAUUAGAAACUAGUUGUCUCUCCCCUUCUCAGCAGAAGACUGUGGAAUGUGUCUCCUAGCAACAGAGAUGUGUUACUAUCUUAUGGUAGGACUGUUUUAUAAAGCAGCAAUCUCCAACCUUUUUGGCACCAGAGACCAGUUUCAUGGAAGAUGAUUUCUCCACAGACAGGGAAGUGGGGGGAUGGUUUCAGGAUGACUCAUGCGCAUUACAUUUAUUGUGUACUUUAUUUCUAUUAUUAUUACAUUGUAAUAUAUAAUGAAAUAAUUAUACAACUCACCAUAAUGUAGAAUCAGUGGAACCCCUGAGCUUGUUUUCCUGCAACUAGAUGGUUCUAUCUGGGGGGUGAUGGGAGACACUGACAGAUGAUCAGGCAUUAGAUUCUCAUAAGAAGUGCACAACCUAGAUCCCUCACAUGUGCAGUUUACAGUACGGUUCACGCUCUUUUGAGAAUCUUAUGCUGCUGCUGAGGUGGAAGGUGGAGGUGGAGGUCGAAGGUGGAGGUGGAGCUCAGGCAGUAAUGUGAGCAAUGGGGAAUGGCUGUAAAUACAGAUGAAGCUUCACUCACUUGCCUGCCACUCAAAACAGGCCACAGACCAGUACCGUGUAGAAGUACCAAUCUGUAGCCUGGGGGUUGAGGACCGCAGCUAUAAAGGACACUCAUUCUGCUGUCCGCACUUCUCCCAAUAACUACCAGGAAAGGGUCACAGUCAGAAUGAAUUUAGCCAUUCACCUUCAGUACCAAUGCAUUGUCCUAAAGAGGUAACAGUUCCACUGGCUUCAAAUCUUUUGUAUCAUUUGUGUCUUCCUUCCCUCUCUUCUCUUCCUCUCUCAUUCACACUUUUCUCUUCUUUCUCCCCAAUCUCUCAACUCCUUUCCUUCCUUGCUUCCCUGACCACUACCUUUUCAACAUCUGUCUUUUGACCUUUCCCUUUCCCUUCUUUAUUCCUAUCCCUGCCACCAUCCUGUGUAAAGUGCUAUCAGUUCUACUCCAUUCUUCCCUCUACCUCUGCCCUUAACCCUAGUUCCAGGUCCAGGUAGUUCCUUACCCCACCCUCUGGACAAGGCUGCUUCUGGGCUAUAAUCUCUUUUCAAGAUAUUUUAUCCUACAUGCAGCUGCCAAGUUAUUUCCCCUACAACAGCAAUCUAUUCAUAACACAGCCCUGCUCAAAAACCUUUAAGGGUUUACAUUUCCUAUGGAGUAAAAACCAAGUCGUAAGCCUCAUGUUCCAGAGCCAAGACAGUAUGGUUCUAUUCAUCUUUUGCAGCCUGGGCAUGCUCUGGUUUUCUUUAGACAUGCACUGUUCCUGUCAAAAUGCCUCUUAUCCACCUGGGUCUCUUCUCCAGCUGUUUCCUCUGCCUAAAGUUCCCUCACCCCAAUUCCUCCAUCUCUGCACAUCUAAAACCACUAGGGCUACCUCAAGCUUAGCCUGUUCUGUGCAACCUUUCCUGAUAUCUCUACCUAAUCCUUCUUCUGAACCCCUAUAGAACUUAUCCCCAUAAUGAGGUCACCCUAACAACAAUCAACCAGGUGCUGCCAGCUCUGUCCCACACAUCAAUAUGACCUUCAGCCCCUGCCUAAGUUCCAUUGUAGAAGUGUCUCUAGAAGUUCCCAGGGUGCCUCACAUGUACUCCCUGAAUAAGGACACUUCUUUCAGGUCUUGCCAGUGCUCUGCCAUCUUCCCCCAAGCAUCUGCUGGGCACCAUUGCUCCUGACACAGCUAGGGAGCUCCUACCACGUCAAGGUUUACAGUGUUCUGGAGUAAGUUGCAGAAUGAACCUGCAACUCCUCCUUACUGAGGAGUCAGAGUCCACUCUAUCAGGGAGAUCUCAAAAGAAUGUUGUUGAUGCUCUAAUGGUCUUUGAGGUACUGUAAAACAGUUCUUUCUGCUUAUUCCCCCAAGCCCCAUCCCUAUGGAGCCAUAGGAUUCCAAUGUUAGGUAAAUGUGACAGAGCAUUGUGCUUUACUUGGAAUUGACCCUUCUGCCCAAAAUGCUGCAUUCUUACUGAGUCAGGUAUGUUAUACCUGCUCUGUCUUCACACAUGGCCUUCGUCAGCCCCUAAUAUAAGUAAAUGAGGGGCUGGACUGCCUAUAUAUUUUCUAGAAAAUGUAGUCUUAAUGAGUCACUGUUAUGGUUGGAAAUGUAUCCUAUCCCUCAAGUAUGCUGGGGAAGAAAAGUGGUUAAGACAUACUAGAUUCUAUGAUACUCCAGAACUGCACUGCUCAACACAGUGGCUACUGGCCACAUGAGGCUAUAGAGCACUUGAAAUUUAGCUACUCCCAACUGAGAGGUGCUAUGAGUAUAAAAUUCAUAUCAGGUUUCAAAGACUUACUCCUCCAAAAAAGGGUGUAAAAUAAGUCAUUAAUAACUUUUGUAACGUUGACUACAUGUUGAAAUAAUACUUUGUAUUAGGUCAAAUAACAUGCCAUUAAAAUGGAUUUCACCUCUUCUUACUUUCUUAGUAUGGUUUCUAGAAAACUUAAAAUUACAUACAUGGUUUGCAUUUGUGGCACACCUUAUAUUUCUAUUGCACAGUGCUGCUCUAGAGCAGCUCUCUAGAGCACUUGUUAGAAAUGCAAACCCUUGGGCCCCAGCUCAGACCUACUGAGUCAGAAACUCCAGUAGGGCCCAGCAAUCUGUGGCAAACAAGUUCUCCAGCUAGUCCUGGCUCACACUGACAUUAAGCUCUCCACCAAGAAGGUAAGCUCUAAAGCACUGAAAAUAAGAUCCAGAGCAUAACGGGAUCUCAAUAAGUUUUGUUAAAUGAUUUAAUCUUGAUGGUUCCUGUUAAGCUCAAAAUUAUUCUGUCCAUCAGUCAGUCAGUGAGAGAGAAAGUAAACAACAAACUUCGUCCCCAACCUUGGAAGAACAGCUCGCUGGUAACUUCAAAAGUUGCCACUAACAGCCGGGGAGAAUUGCAAGUCAUUAUCAGAACACCUUUAAAAAUUCUCAAUAGAAAUGUAUGAAUACAAUGGCUGUGCCAGAAGCAAGAGAUAGUCAGACAUGAAGAAAGUAUAAAGAAAAAUAAAAACAUGCUAAGUUAUAAAACUGGUCUGGGUGCGAAGCCAGGCUGGCUGAUGCUUUGCAAUGGAGUAGCUCUGAAGCUGCCUCUUCCAGUGCCUGUGCCCUACUGGACAAAGAUAGCCACAGCCUCAGUCCCUCUUUUGGUACAGAUACCAAAAGGUCUUGAUCAACUGGGACUUCACCGAUACAGCCCUCAAGAGCCUGCAGUCCUUGCAUAUCUCAACUUUACCCCUUCAAGCAUUCUGAAAUUCACCUCAAGUUUCCAUUCCUUGUGACAUGUGCCAUUAUCAAGAUUCAUUAGUUCGUGACCGUGCUUGAAGAGCACACCACAAAAUAUGCCAUGCACACGACAAAGCAUGUCCUCUUUAAGAAUGAGUGAGAAGUGUAUGGAACAGAAUCAAAACUGUCAGAGUGGCCUUGCUUUGAGCACUCCCUAAGUGAAAUAAUGUUCUCCAAACAGCAGUCUCCUGGAAACUGAUAACCAUGUUUAACAUACUUAGUGGCAUUAAAACUAUCAUCCAUGUACUUAUUUUUUGCCUUUUUAAAAACUGACAUAUAAUAUUUUACAUAUUUAUGGGGUACAUGUGAUAUUUUGUUACGUGGAUCAAAUCAGUUUUGGGGGUGUCCAUCCCUUGAGUAUUUAUCAUCUCUGUGUUGGGAACAUUUCAAGUCAUAGCUACUUUGAAAUAUCAUGCAUUUAUUAAAAGUAAUUCAUGCACAUUGUAAAACAAGAUUAAACAAGGCAGAAAUGGAUAAAGUAAAAAAGUUCUCUUCUCUGACUCAGUCCCAAUCCCUAGACUAUUCUAGAUUUUUAAAAUGUAGAUAUUAAUAGAAAUACAAAUAGAUAUUUUUUUUUAAAUGAGAUCAUAUGUGCAUUCAAUUUUGUAACCUGCCUGUCUCACUUGCUCGUAUGUCGUGGACAACUUUCAGUGUUGUUUAUGUAGAUUUACCUCUUUCCAUUUGAUGUUUGCACAGUGUUCUACUGCAUGGAUAGUUUAUUUAACCACACAUUCAUCUAACAGUAGUACCCAAAACAUAGAAAGCUCUCAAUAAAUACUGGCUCUUAUGUAUAAUCAUAGAAAUGUUUUUAUAUUUCCUUAUUUAUACUUCCUCACUCCUAAAAUGUAUUAUACUUUUUUUAAUGUACAAAUUCCCAGACAUGUAUAUUUUAUAAAGGAUAAACACUAGCUUUUACUCUAGCUUUUAUUUAUCAAUUCUACACUUCAGUUUUCUUUCUGUCUUUAUUACUAUGUUCUAUUUCUUUGAGUUAAUUUUAUCUUUUUGUUUGUUUUUUUGGAGACAGAGUCUUGCUCUGUCACCCAGGCUGGAGUGCAGUGGCACAAUCUCGGCUCACUGCAACCUCAACCUCCCAGGUUCAAGUGAUUCUCCUGCCUCAGCCUCCCGAGUAGCUGGGAUUACAGGCAUGUGCCAUCAUGCCCAACUAAUUUUUGUAUUUUUAGUUGAGACAGGAUUUCACCAUGUUGGCCCGGGUGGUCUUGAACUCCUGACUUCAAGUGAUCUGCCUGCCUCAGCCUCCCAAAGUGCUGGGAUUACAGGCAUGAGCCACCACACCCAGCCUAAUUUUGAUCCUCUUCUUCUAGCUUCUAGAGUUGAAUAUGUAACUAUGUUUAUUUUAUUCUCCUGUUUUCUAAAAAGGUAUUUUAAAGUCAUCUGAGGGAACUAUUUUAACAUGCCUUUGUCUGUACCCGCUU
RNAcentral lists this long non-coding RNA (7115 nucleotides) under Homo sapiens (human). RNAcentral describes it as "non-protein coding lnc-IL6-3:23". Lineage: Eukaryota; Metazoa; Chordata; Mammalia; Primates; Hominidae. The record is from RNAcentral.